Molecule: ribosomal RNA, 253 nt
Filed under: uncultured bacterium
Lineage: Bacteria
Description: partial 16S ribosomal RNA
Rfam family: Bacterial small subunit ribosomal RNA
Source: RNAcentral
UACGUAGGGGGCAAGCGUUGUCCGGAUUUAUUGGGCGUAAAGAGCGUGUAGGCGGCCAGGUAGGUCUGCUGUGAAAACUCGAGGCUUAACCUCGAGAUGUCGGCGGAAACCAUCUGGCUAGAGUCCGGAAGAGGAGAAUGGAAUUCCCGGUGUAGCGGUGAAAUGCGCAGAUAUCGGGAAGAACACCCGUGGCGAAGGCGGUUCUCUGGGACGGUACUGACGCUGAAACGCGAAAGCGUGGGGAGCAAACAGG